This 335-nucleotide ribosomal RNA is filed under the name Chionodraco hamatus (Antarctic icefish). Its description in RNAcentral is "SSU rRNA". It matches the Rfam family "Eukaryotic small subunit ribosomal RNA", at positions 119 to 427 of the family's 1831-position model. The record is from RNAcentral. Lineage: Eukaryota; Metazoa; Chordata; Actinopteri; Perciformes; Channichthyidae.
CUUUGAUCGCUCUAACGUUACUUGGAUAACUGUGGCAAUUCUAGAGCUAAUACAUGCCAACGAACGCUGACCUUCGGGGAUGCGUGCAUUUAUCAGACCCAAAACCCAUGCGGGGUGCUCUCCGGGGCGCCCCGGCCGCUUUGGUGACUCUAGAUAACCUCGAGCCGAUCGCUGGCCCUCGUGGCGGCGACGUCUCAUUCGAAUGUCUGCCCUAUCAACUUUCGAUGGUUACUUUCUGUGCCUACCAUGGUGACCACGGGUAACGGGGAAUCAGGGUUCGAUUCCGGAGAGGGAGCCUGAGAAACGGCUACCACAUCAAAGGGAAAGCAAAACUA